Molecule: ribosomal RNA, 497 nt
Filed under: uncultured bacterium
Lineage: Bacteria
Description: partial 16S ribosomal RNA
Rfam family: Bacterial small subunit ribosomal RNA
Source: RNAcentral
GAUGAACGCUGGCGGCGUGCCUAAUACAUGCAAGUCGAGCGAACGGACGAGAAGCUUGCUUCUCUGAUGUUAGCGGCGGACGGGUGAGUAACACGUGGAUAACCUACCUAUAAGACUGGGAUAACUUCGGGAAACCGGAGCUAAUACCGGAUAAUAUUUUGAACCGCAUGGUUCAAAAGUGAAAGACGGUCUUGCUGUCACUUAUAGAUGGAUCCGCGCUGCAUUAGCUAGUUGGUAAGGUAACGGCUUACCAAGGCAACGAUGCAUAGCCGACCUGAGAGGGGGAUAGGCCACACUGGAGCUGGGACACGGUCAAGACUCCUACGGGAGGCAGCAGUAGGGAAUCUUCCGCAAUGGGCGAAAGCCUGACGGAGCAACGCCGCGUGAGUGAUGAAGGUCUUCGGAUCGUAAAACUCUGUUAUUAGGGAAGAACAUAUGUGUAAGUAACUGUGCACAUCUUGACGGUACCUAAUCAGAAAGCCACGGCUAACUACGUG